ACUGUGAAACUGCGAAUGGCUCAUUAAAUCAGUUAUCGUUUAUUUGAUAGUACCUUACUACAUGGAUACCUGUGGUAAUUCUAGAGCUAAUACAUGCUAAAAACCCCGACUUCAGGAAGGGGUGUAUUUAUUAGAUAAAAAACCAACGCCCUUCGGGGCUCCUUGGUGAAUCAUAAUAACUUAACGAAUCGCAUGGCCUUGCGCCGGCGAUGGUUCAUUCAAAUUUCUGCCCUAUCAACUUUCGAUGGUAGGAUAGUGGCCUACCAUGGUGGCAACGGGUAACGGGGAAUUAGGGUUCGAUUCCGGAGAGGGAGCCUGAGAAACGGCUACCACAUCCAAGGAAGGCAGCAGGCGCGCAAAUUACCCAAUCCCGAUACGGGGAGGUAGUGACAAUAAAUACUGAUACGGGGCUCUUUUGGGUCUCGUAAUUGGAAUGAGAACAAUUUAAAUCCCUUAACGAGGAACAAUUGGAGGGCAAGUCUGGUGCCAGCAGCCGCGGUAAUUCCAGCUCCAAUAGCGUAUAUUAAAGUUGUUGCAGUUAAAAAGCUCGUAGUUGAACCUUGGGUCUGGCUGGCCGGUCCGCCUCACCGCGAGUACUGGUCCGGCUGGACCUUUCCUUCUGGGGAACCUCAUGGCCUUCACUGGCUGUGGGGGGAACCAGGACUUUUACUGUGAAAAAAUUAGAGUGUUCAAAGCAGGCCUUUGCUCGAAUACAUUAGCAUGGAAUAAUAGAAUAGGACGUGUGGUUCUAUUUUGUUGGUUUCUAGGACCGCCGUAAUGAUUAAUAGGGAUAGUCGGGGGCGUCAGUAUUCAGCUGUCAGAGGUGAAAUUCUUGGAUUUGCUGAAGACUAACUACUGCGAAAGCAUUCGCCAAGGAUGUUUUCAUUAAUCAGGGAACGAAAGUUAGGGGAUCGAAGACGAUCAGAUACCGUCGUAGUCUUAACCAUAAACUAUGCCGACUAGGGAUCGGACGGGAUUCUAUGAUGACCCGUUCGGCACCUUACGAGAAAUCAAAG
RNAcentral lists this ribosomal RNA (1016 nucleotides) under Penicillium spinulosum. RNAcentral describes it as "SSU rRNA". It matches the Rfam family "Eukaryotic small subunit ribosomal RNA", at positions 78 to 1103 of the family's 1831-position model. Lineage: Eukaryota; Fungi; Ascomycota; Eurotiomycetes; Eurotiales; Aspergillaceae. The record is from RNAcentral.